UUGACGACUGGAGUAAAUUACAUGCCCAGCUCAGUGAGCAAAUCAAGUCAUUUGAGAAGUCUCAGAAAGAUUUGGAAGUAGCUCUUACUCACAAGGAUGACAAUAUUAAUGCUUUGACUAAUUGCAUUACACAGUUGAAUCAAUUGCAGUGUGAAUCUGAAUCUGAGGGUCAAAAUAAAGGAGGAAAUGAUUCAGAUGAUUUAGCAAAUGGAGAAGUGGCAGGUGACCAGAAUGAGAAGAUGAAAAAUCAAAUUAAGCAGAUGA
Sapajus apella (tufted capuchin) is the source of this 264-nucleotide long non-coding RNA. RefSeq lists it as uncharacterized. The transcript is spliced from 3 exons. The record is from RefSeq and is a predicted model, not a curated record. Lineage: Eukaryota; Metazoa; Chordata; Mammalia; Primates; Cebidae.